RNAcentral lists this ribosomal RNA (1468 nucleotides) under uncultured Bordetella sp. RNAcentral's name for it is "partial 16S-23S ribosomal RNA intergenic spacer". It matches the Rfam family "Bacterial small subunit ribosomal RNA". The record is from RNAcentral. Lineage: Bacteria; Pseudomonadati; Pseudomonadota; Betaproteobacteria; Burkholderiales; Alcaligenaceae.
GGUUUGAUUAUGGCUCAGAUUGAACGCUGCGGGAUGUUUACACAUGCAAGUCGAACGGCAGCACGGACUUCGGUCUGGUGGCGAGUGGCGAACGGGUGAGUAAUGUAUCGGAACGUGCCUAGUAGUCGGGGAUAACUACGCGAAAGUGCGUAACCAAUGUCGCAUACGCCCUUCGUGUAAGCGGGGACCUUCGGGCCUCGCACUAUUAGAGCGGGCCGAUAUCGGAUUAGCUAGUUGGUGGGUAACGGCUCACCAAGGCGACGAUCCGUAGCUGGUUUGAGAGGACGACCAGCCACACUUGGGAUCGAGACACGGCCCAGACUCCUACGGGAGGCAGCAGGGGGGGGAAUUUGGACAAUGGGGAAACCCUGAUCCAGCCAUCCCGCGUGUGCGAUGAAGGCCUUCGCCAGGUACAAUUUUUGCAGGAAGAACGGCACGGGAUAAUACCCGCAACUGACGGUACUGCAGAAUAAGCACCGGCUAAAUCGUCGUGCCAGCAGCCGCGGUAAUACGUAGGGUGCAAGCGUUAACGGGAAUUACUGGGCGUAAAGCGUGCGCAGGCGGUUCGAAAGAAAGAUGUGAAAUCCCAGAGCUUAACUUUGGAACUGCAUUUUUAACUACCGAGCGAGUGUCAGAGGGAGGUGGACCGCGUGUAGCAGUGAAAUGCGUAGAUAUGCGGAGGAACACCGCACGCUAAAGGCAGCCUCCUGGCUGGGUCACCGACGCUCAUGCACGAAAGCGUGGGGAGCAAAUACAGGAUUAGAUUCCGGUAGUCCACGCCCUAAACGAUGUCAACUAGCUGUUGGGGCCUUCGGGCCUUGGUAGCGCAGCUAACGUGAAGUUGACCGCCUGGGGAGUACGGUCGCAAGAUUAAAACUCAAAGGAAUUAUUUGGGACCCUGCACAAGCGGUGGAGAUGUGGAUUAAUUCGAUGCAACGCGAAAAACCUUACCUACUCCUUGACAUGUUCAAAUCCCGAAGAGAUUUGGGAGUGCUCGCAAGAGAACCGAACACAGGUGCUGCAUGGCUGUCGUCAGCUCGUGUCGAGAUGUUGGGUUAAGUCCCGCAACGAGCGCAACCCUUGUUUGUUAGCUGCUACGAAAGGGCACCUAAUGAGACUGCCGGUGACAAACCGGAGGAAGGUGGGGAUGACGUCAAGUCCUCAUGGCCCUUAUGGGUAGGGCUUCACACGUCAUACAAUGGUCGGGACAGAGUGGUCGCCAACCCGCGAGGGGGAGCCAAUCCCAGAAACCCGAUCGUAGUCCGGAUCGCAGUCUGCAACUCGACUGCGUGAAGCUGGAAUCGCUAGUAAUCGCGGAUCAGCAUGUCGCGGUGAAUACGUUCCCGGGUCUUGUACACACCGCCCGUCACACCAUGGGAGUGGGUUUACCAGAAGUAGUUAGCCUAACCGUAAGGAGGGCGAUUACCACGGUAGGAUUCAUGACUGGGGUGAAGUCGUAACAAGGUAG